Molecule: ribosomal RNA, 257 nt
Filed under: uncultured bacterium
Lineage: Bacteria
Description: partial 16S ribosomal RNA
Rfam family: Bacterial small subunit ribosomal RNA
Source: RNAcentral
UACGUAGGGUGCAAGCGUUAAUCGGAAUUACUGGGCGUAAAGCGUGCGCAGGCGGUUUUGUAAGACAGGCGUGAAAUCCCGGGCGUCAACCUGGGAAGUGCGCUUGUGACUGCAAAGCUGGAGUGCGGCAGAGGGGAGUGAAUUCCACGUGUAGCAGUGAAAUGCGUAGAGAUGUGGAGGAACACCGAUGGCGAAGGCAGCCCCUCGGGAUAACACUGACGCUCAUGCACGAAAGCGUGGGGAGCAAACAGGAUUAG